UUCUGAGCUGUUCAAUUUGAAAAGAGCAAAGUUUCCAUUACAUAAUGUCUCACACAUUCUCCCAUAGGUAUGCUGACAUGAUAUUCGUGUAUGGUUUCUGUAAUUAUACAAAUCUUAUGCUGUAAUAUCUGUAUUAUAGUUUCUGUAGCGCAUUACGUGCUGUUGAUCAAUACCGACGUCGUUUUUUCAAAUCGAAGAAUUCCUAAUCGUAAAGUUUUUCGGACAGUUUUUGUAAAUGCUCAGCAAACACGAAUGAAUUCUAAACGAGAGGCGGGACCAAAUGUGGAAAAUAAAGAAAAUGUUCUGGAUAUGGCUGAAGAGAAUCCGGAUAUUAGUACGAGGCAGAUUACAAAAGAACUUCGACUAGCAUCACAUGUGGACGUCUGGAAGACACUUAGGAAAAACGGUUUUAAGCCUUUCCAUAUUCAACCAGUUCAACAUCUUAAAUUUUGCGAUUGCAUCCAACAAAAUUGAGGCCUACAAGUACAUUUUAUUUAGCGAUAAAGCUCAUUUUACCCGCAAUGGAAUUAAUAACCGACACAAUAAACAUCGAUGAUCAGAUGAAAAUCCUCAUGCCACGUUUGAACGAAACUUUCAACAUCGAUUCAGUAUUAACGUGUGGUGUGGAUUGCUGAACGACCAGUUGUUUGGUCCUUUUGUAUUAGAUGAGCGUCUUACUGGAGAAGGAUAUUCACACUUUUUGGAAGACCAAUUAAUACACAUGUUGGAUGAUGUUCCGCUAAUUGUUCGACACCGAAUGUAUUUUCGACACGAUUUUAGGAAGUGUGCACAUAACAGGAUCCUACGCAACUAUCGCGAAAAAUUCAAUUUACUCCAGAUCAACACUGGCCAAGGCAAAUCCCCUCAUCUACAAAAAUCCACAAUGGAACAGCAAGGUUUCAUUAACAACUUAGUCCAAAUUAUGCUUUAAUAUAAAUUUUCCUCUCAAUAAUUAAGGUUAUAAAACAAAAAAUUUCAUCUAAUAAUACUCAUACUAAUUUAAAUAUAUUUGCAGUAAAUAUUGUUAGUUAUUAAAAGUUUUUUAUUAAAUUAUACUAUAAUAUUCUAACAUCAAAUUAAAGUCCUAUGCUCAAAAAAAAAACUGUAACAAUAAUUAACAUCUAAUACGGCUUUAAAGAUAUGCUGACUGCACAAUAGGAUUUAUAGGACUUAUCAAAGAUAGAUAUGGAAAUGAUGUUUAAUAGGAUAUUAAAAGAGGAGCAAACGCUACAAAACAACUAGCAAAUUUUAAGAACCACAAGUUGUUUCUAUUUCUAUAUUAAGAAAAAUUGCCUUGUGUUAAUUUUUUAAAUUUUACGAUUAAAGAUUAUAUAUGAUGGCAAGGGCAUGGAAAUUGAUGUUUUUUUAGGCUAAUUAUAGGGUUACAAAGAUUUUUUUCUUUAAAAAUAGACCAGCUGGUGUAAAAAUUGAUUGCUACAUAGCAAAUUGCAAUUUUAUUUUUUAGAACACAAAUUGUUAAUAGAUGAAUACCGAGAGAGAUUAAUUAUUCUCUGCUAAAGUAUAAAAUGAGAUCUGUUAAUGUUUAGACUUUAACGUUAAUGGCACCAAUUUUAAGAAAAAUCCCUUCAAAUGACAAACACUAGAGAAACUGCAUGCUUAGAAAAAAAAAUGACAAAAAGCGAAAACCUUGUUCCCAUGAUUAACGAUUGAAUGCACUUUCGAAAAGGAACUGCGAAGGGCGAAGACGUGGAAAUUCUUUUCUGUCAAGAAAAAUCGUAAAAAACAUCGACUUACAGCGCCUUUGUGGUUUCGAAUAGUGGGCAUUUGUCAACCGGGUCAAUAGACACACCGAGCGCCGGGGGUAAUGUAUUGUGAUUCCCAUUAGGGAACCCUUUGUAAACAUUUGAAAUUCAUUAAGGCCGUUUGGGUCUAUUUGGUAGUUACGCACGGACGCUCGAUUUAAGCUUUUCUGGAAAUCUAUUAUUUGUCGUGUUUUUAUUUUCUUAUAAAGAAUACCGAUGUUCUAAAAGAGAGAAAAAUAUUUGGAAUGAAUGAUGUACCAGUGCCAUUUAUUAUCUAAAUACUUCGCAAAAAAUAAUAUAUUAAAUGAAAAAUUUUAUGAUUUUAACUAAUUUUUAACUACAUUAUAUGCUUUUAACUACAUUUAAUACAGUAAUUUCUCAGGUGAUAAGGAUGUAAUUAAAUACUUUUUUAUCUUUGUUAUCACGUUAUUUCCUCUAUUUUAUUUAUGCAUGUGUCUUAAGUUAAUGAUUCUUGGUGACUUUUGUAGGGUUUUAAAUGAAGACAUCUUUCUCUGAAGCAUUGUCCCCUCCUUAUGUAAGUGAAACAAUAUAACAACAACAACAACAAUAUUACUAUUCAAAAGAAUGAAAUAAUCCUUAUCGUAUAGAGUACCCACAUAUUGUAAACACCAAGAAAUCAGCUGAUUAUCCGUCAUUCCGGAAUUCCACAAGUGACCACCGCACGGCGGUGAGUAAAUCUUUCGGAAUGGUCAGCCGAGUAUAUAAGGAGCUGCGUCGCUGCUCGAAGUCAGUUGCCAGUUCGGUGAAGUAAAGUUUGGAAUAUUGGUGCCAGAUUUAAAUAAUUAUAAAUAAAUACAGUAAAAAUAAAUA
Anthonomus grandis grandis is the source of this 2594-nucleotide long non-coding RNA. RefSeq lists it as uncharacterized. The record is from RefSeq and is a predicted model, not a curated record. The transcript is spliced from 2 exons. Lineage: Eukaryota; Metazoa; Arthropoda; Insecta; Coleoptera; Curculionidae.